This 423-nucleotide ribosomal RNA is filed under the name uncultured bacterium. RNAcentral's name for it is "bacterial SSU rRNA". It matches the Rfam family "Bacterial small subunit ribosomal RNA", at positions 355 to 774 of the family's 1533-position model. The record is from RNAcentral.
UGAGGAAUAUUGGUCAAUGGGCGCGAGCCUGAACCAGCCAAGUAGCGUGAAGGAUGAAGGUCCUAUGGAUUGUAAACUUCUUUUAUAGCAGAAUAAAGUGACCCACGUGUGGGUUUUUGUAUGUAUGCUAUGAAUAAGGAUCGGCUAACUCCGUGCCAGCAGCCGCGGUAAUACGGAGGAUCCGAGCGUUAUCCGGAUUUAUUGGGUUUAAAGGGUGCGUAGGCGGAAAGAUAAGUCAGCCUGUGAAAGUUUGCGGCUCAACCGUAAAAUUGCAGUUGAUACUGUUUUUCUUGAGUGUACAUAAGGUAGGCGGAAUUCGUGGUGUAGCGGGGAAAUGCGUAGAUAUCUGGAAGAACACCAGUGGCGAAGGCGGUCAACUGGCCCAUAACUGACGCUCAUGCACGAAAGCGUGGGGAGCAAACA